GUUGCUUUUAAUGAUUUGCGUCAUUCAAAAGAAAAGUGUAUUUGUUUAGCGAGUUAUUUUCAAGUUUGUUUAGCGAGUUUUAGUGAGUUUUCUUCUUAGUUCAGCUUAGUGAAACUUUUUAGUUUGUUGAGUGCAACAGUGGUUGUUUAGUAUUUAAAGACAAAUUAUAAACAGGGUGGCAGUAGGUGACAUAAAAUAUUAAAAAUUUUAUCAGGGAUUAUUUAUUUGACAUAUAAAUCUCAAAAAUGCCAAUAAGUCGACGAACCAACUUGAGUCGUAGAACGCGAAAUGCUGCAAGCCAACAACAUAUACGGGCAAGUCAAACCAACGAGCAACGCGAGAUGCGAAAUGAAGUUGAAAGGAAUAGAUGGAAUAGGAAUAACCAAGAACGUAGAAACGUUCCGUUCAGGUUUAAUCCAAAUCGAGCUGCAUUUAGUUACGAUGCAGCAAUCGAUUAUAGUUCGCAGCAAAUCGUUGCUAUUGGACAAAUGAACGUUGUGUGUCUAUAUUGCAAGUCAAUGAACUUUAAAAAUGAAGCAUUUGGAUUGUGUUGUGCAAGUGGUCAAGUCAAAUUGACACCAUUGGUACCGCCUCCAGACCCACUAUAUUCAUUAGUUUCCGGAAAUCAUCCAGAUUCAAAAAUUUUUUUAAAUAAUAUCCAGCAAUAUAAUAAUUGCUUUCAAAUGACGUCAUUUGGAGCAACACAAAUUUGUAGAGAUAAUUUUAUGCCUACUUUUAAGGUAAGUAUAUAAGAUAUUAUAUCUGGAAUCAAUCGUUAAAGAAAUUUCAACGAAGAAAACAAGGUCAGCCCGUUCCAGGUUACCCACAAGUAUUUUCCACCGAUGCACUAGGACGUCUUUACACAAUUCAUCCCAACCAAGACGAGUGUUUUUAUUUGUGUUUACUGUUAAUCAAUGUUCGUGGACCAACAUCAUUCCAACAUCUGCGAACUAUUAAUGGUGUAUUAUGCGGCACAUACAGAGAAGCCUGUCAACUUAUGGGAUUGCUAGAAAAUGAUACUCAUUGGCACCACACUCUGGAAGAUGCUGUAGUUUCAUCAAAUGCUAAACAAAUACGAACAUUGUUUUCUAUAAUUUUGUCUACAUGCUUCCCAUCAACGCCAAUUGAUCUGUGGAACAAAUAUAACUAUCAUAUGGCCGAAGAUAUAUUGCAUCAGAUGCGAUCGAUAGGACAUCGAAUGCAGAUUUGCAAAUGAACGAAGAAAUUAAAAAUGAAGCAUUCAUUUUAAUUGAGGACAUGUGCUUGAUGCUUACCAACAAAAGAUUAAUACAAUUAGGAAUGAUAGGUCCCAAUCGCCCAAUGCACGACGCAUUUAAUCAAGAGUUAAGACGCGAAACCGAAUAUGUUUCUGAGGCAUUGAUGGAAAUAGUUCAACGAAACGUUCCCUUAUUAAAUCAACAACAAAAACAUGCCUAUUAUACGCUGAUGAGAGUAGUCAACGAUGAAACUGGGGGACUGUUUUUCUUAGAUGCUCCUGGUGGAACUGGAAAAACGUUUUUAAUCUCAUUAAUUUUGGCAGCGAUUCGAUCGCAAAAUGGAAUUGCACUCGCUUCAUCAGGUAUUGCAGCUACGUUGUUAGAAGGCGGUCGAACAGCUCAUUCAGGACUCAAGUUGCCGUUAAACAUGCAAAUUAUCGAAACUCCAACUUGCAACAUUUCGAGGAAUUGUGCGAUGGCCAAAGUCUUACACCAAAGCAAAUUAAUCGUUUGGGAUGAGUGCACAAUGGCAAACAAAAAAAAAUUCUGGAUGCAUUAGACCGCACAAUGCAAGAUUUACGACACAACCAGAACCGGUUUGGUGGUGCGAUGAUUCUAUUGGCAGGUGAUUUUCGAAAAACAUUGCCGGUAAUGCCACGAUCAACACCAGCCUGCAUGUUUGAAGUCGUCAAAUUUAUGGAAGUAUGUCAAAACACUUAAAUUAAAUAUAAACAUGCGAGUCGAAUUGCAGAACGAUCAAUCUGGAGAAGCUUUUUCAAAACAAUUGCUUGAUAUUGGUAAUGGCAAAAUUCCAGUAGACACAUCGUCGGGAUACAUUAACUUCCCUCCCAAUUUUUGUAACUUUGUUGAAUCAAAAACCGAACUUAUCGAGGAGGUGUUCCCAAAUAUUGUUCAAAAUUAUAAAAACCACGAUUGGUUAAGCGAACGAGUUAUAUUGGCUGCGAAAAACAUUGAUGUCAACGAAAUAAAUUUUGAAAUUCAAAAUAAGAUUGCAGGCGAUCUUAUGACUUAUAAAUCCAUUGAUUCCGUUACCAACCAAGAUGACGUCGUUAACUAUCCAACCGAAUUUUUAAAUUCGCUGGAAAUACCCGGACUUCCACCUCAUAAUCUGCAAUUAAGAGUCGGAUCGGUUAUUAUUAUGUUGCGGAACAUAAUAAUGUUUCGCAAAUGUGCGUUGCAGUCAUCGAAGCAACCAUUUUGAAAGGGAAGUACAAAGGCGAAGACGUUUUAAUUCCACGCAUCCCCAUGAUUCCGAACGACAUGCCAUUCGAUUUUAAGUGGAUGCAAUUUCCUGUGCGACUUGCAUUUGCAAUGACGAUAAAUAAAGCGCAAGGGCAGUCAUUGAAUGUUUGUGGCAUAAAUUUAGAAAAUCCAUGUUUUUCACAUGGUCAAUUGUAUGUGGCCUGCUCCCGUCUUGGAAAACCUUCCACAUUAUUUAUUUUCGCUCCAGGAAAGAAAACUAACAAUGUUGUGUAUCAAAAAGCGUUACAAUAAAUAUUUACUAGCUUUUUGUAAUA
This 2755-nucleotide long non-coding RNA is filed under the name Anthonomus grandis grandis. RNAcentral describes it as "uncharacterized LOC126746048". The record is from RNAcentral. Lineage: Eukaryota; Metazoa; Arthropoda; Insecta; Coleoptera; Curculionidae.